ACAAAAACAUCGCCUCUUGCUAAAACAUAAGAGGUCCCGCCUGCCCCGUGACUUAGUUUAACGGCCGCGGUAUUUUAACCGUGCAAAGGUAGCAUAAUAAAUUGUUCUCUAAAUAAGGACUAGUAUGAAUGGCACCACGAAGGCUCAACUGUCUCCCCCCUCUAAUCAAUGGAACUGAUCUCCUCGUGAAGAAGCGGGGAUAAAUAUACAAGACGAAAAGACCCCAUGGAGCUUUAAACUCACUACCAAUUACCC
RNAcentral lists this ribosomal RNA (255 nucleotides) under Afrixalus environmental sample. RNAcentral describes it as "partial 16S ribosomal RNA". It matches the Rfam family "Bacterial large subunit ribosomal RNA", at positions 1807 to 2122 of the family's 2925-position model. Lineage: Eukaryota; Metazoa; Chordata; Amphibia; Anura; Hyperoliidae. The record is from RNAcentral.